This 386-nucleotide ribosomal RNA is filed under the name uncultured bacterium. RNAcentral describes it as "bacterial SSU rRNA". It matches the Rfam family "Bacterial small subunit ribosomal RNA", at positions 28 to 416 of the family's 1533-position model. The record is from RNAcentral.
GACGAACGCUGGCGGCGUGCUUAACACAUGCAAGUCGAGCGGUAAGGCCCUUUCGGGGGUACACGAGCGCGAACGGGUGAGUAACACGUGGGUGACCUGCCCUCAGCUCUGGGAUAAGCCCGGGAAACUGGGUCUAAUACUGGAUAUGACUCCAUGACGCAUGUUGUGGGGUGGAAAGCCUUGUGCGGCUGAGGAUGGGCCCGCGGCCUAUCAGCUUGUUGGUGGGGNGAUGGCCUACCAAGGCGACGACGGGUAGCCGGCCUGAGAGGGCGACCGGCCACACUGGGACUGAGACACGGCCCAGACUCCUACGGGAGGCAGCAGUGGGGAAUCUUGCGCAAUGGGCGAAAGCCUGACGCAGCGACGCCGCGUGAGGGAUGACGGCC